Molecule: ribosomal RNA, 229 nt
Filed under: uncultured bacterium
Lineage: Bacteria
Description: partial 16S ribosomal RNA
Rfam family: Bacterial small subunit ribosomal RNA
Source: RNAcentral
CGCGUAGGCGGAUUUUCUAGUCAGGCGUGAAAGCCCCGGGCUCAACCCGGGAACUGCGUUUGAUACUGGAAGUCUAGAGUUCUGGAGAGGGUGGUGGAAUUCCCAGUGUAGAGGUGAAAUUCGUAGAUAUUGGGAAGAACACCGGUGGCGAAGGCGGCCACCUGGCCAGACACUGACGCUAAGGCGCGAAAGCGUGGGGAGCAAACAGGAUUAGAUACCCUGGUAGUCC